GCAGAUUUAAGUUAAGUUUAAACUAUUGGUCUUCAAAACUAAAAAUUUUAAUCUGUA
RNAcentral lists this transfer RNA (57 nucleotides) under Parastrongyloides trichosuri. Its description in RNAcentral is "tRNA-Trp". Lineage: Eukaryota; Metazoa; Nematoda; Chromadorea; Rhabditida; Strongyloididae. The record is from RNAcentral.